AACGAACGCUGGCGGCAUGCCUAACACAUGCAAGUCGAACGAGACCUUCGGGUCUGGUGGCGCACGGGUGCGUAACGCGGGGGAAGCUGCCCGUAGGCUCGGGAUAACACCCCGUAGGGGGGGCUAAUACCGGAUAAUGUAUUCGGACCAAUGAUUUAUCGCCUUGGGGACGGCCCGCGUUGUUCUAACUUGUUGGUAGGGUAACAGCCUACGAAGGCGGCGAUCCAUGGCUGGGCUGAGAGGAUGGUCAGCCACACUGGGACUGGGACCCGGCCCGGACUCUUGCGGGUGGCCGCAGUGGUGAUCAUUGGACACCGCGCGAAUGCCUGAUCCAGCCGUGUCGCGUGGGUGAUGAAUUCCUUAGGGUUGUCAACCUCUUUUACCCGGGCUGAUAUUGCCGUACCCGGAGGAAUAGACCCCGCCAACCUCCGG
Molecule: ribosomal RNA, 432 nt
Filed under: uncultured bacterium
Lineage: Bacteria
Description: partial 16S ribosomal RNA
Rfam family: Bacterial small subunit ribosomal RNA
Source: RNAcentral